Molecule: long non-coding RNA, 1098 nt
Filed under: Salmo salar (Atlantic salmon)
Lineage: Eukaryota; Metazoa; Chordata; Actinopteri; Salmoniformes; Salmonidae
Description: lncRNA (ENSSSAG00000100380.1)
Source: RNAcentral
AAGAUAUUCAUUUAUGUAAUUUAAGUUUUAACAUUUUCUACGCUGGCUUCUUCCCAUGUGGUGGUUUCACCCAUUGUCACUCUACACUUACAGUAGAUCAGAGACAAAUGACACUUGUGUAAACUGUCACUGGUAAAUAUGUAGCUGGGAUAUGCUAAAAAACACAUUUCCAAUUCACACGUGUAUAAAUAAACGUGUACAUGUGUGAAAUAGAACAAAUAUAAGCACCCACCAAAUUAUAUAUAUUUUUUAAUGAGUCCAUCAGGAUAUUAUUACUGUCAUUGAGAAAGGCUUCCACUAGAGGCCAGUGUUCUACUAUAUUUACGGAACGCUGGAGAAAUAUGGAGAAAAUUCAGCACUUUAAUAUGUGACUCACGUUGUAUGAACACCAUAAAGUAAAAGAGAAAUAGCUCACUGAAAAACAUGUCGUAAUGGUGUACAUACCAUAUGGAUAAUAUCCUUUCCAUACUUUUAAAUUGCAUAUCUAUGUGUCUUUGUGAGUGCACACAGUGGUCAUUAGCCAAUUAGAUUUGGCUGUUGUCAUGAAUUAAUUGGAAGAACAACCAUAAAACACCCAUCCAAAGAUGAGCUGGAUUUCUGUGUAAAGUAGCAACAAAGUUGAAAAAUACAAAAGUCACACAACAGUCACGCUUCUUGCACACAAAAAGAAUCCAAGACAAAUAAAACAAGAGGGAAAUAAACAUAAAGUCUAUGUUUUUCCCAAGCUACAUGAGAACAAAAGUGAAUUCCCAGUUGGCGGGACAUUUUAUUAUUUCUAAGAAAAGCGCACAUUGUAAAAAAUGUGCCUGGGUGCCGGGGAGGGUAACACCCAGUAGGGCAGAACCCUGGGUUUUACAGGAGAAUGAGGGGAUGAAGAAACUCUGUCUCUCUCCACCACACUGCCUGCCUGUCUGUGUGCUAAUGCUGCAGCCACUGUGAAACCUGGUUUCAUCACACCCAACUUAACCUGCCUGCCUCUCCUUUUCAUCUUUAUCUGACUGAGAACCUCUGUCGGUUCAGUGUUGGGUCUCUGAUCAUACAGUGAUUCUUCUCUCCAUGUGCAGGCAAUACACAUCCAAUAAAUAUUUAUACAAGUGC